Molecule: long non-coding RNA, 384 nt
Filed under: Rattus norvegicus (Norway rat)
Lineage: Eukaryota; Metazoa; Chordata; Mammalia; Rodentia; Muridae
Description: long non-coding RNA NONRATT016662
Source: RNAcentral
CCUGAAUUUUGCUAUUAGAAAUUGUAUCUUUGAUGUUGAAAUAUUCCCCGUUACAGGUGUAAAAACUGUUGGGUCCAGGAAGCACUGCUCACAGUGCUGUUCUCAGAUGCCCAUUAUUGGGAAAGGUUAAAGGCCCUUGCCAGGGGAAUAUACUGUUGACUGUUACUGUUAUCAAGUUACAAUGUGAUUUCCCCACAUCACCCCCUUUAGUGUGCGUCAUGGUAAUGUUGUUUUUGGAGAUCUACCUUGGACCAAGAAAGCAUUUAACUUUUCCCUUGUUCCUUUUCCAGGACCCUGAGGACCGAAACAAGAUGUCAGUAGUUACUGAAGGCUCUCAGAAUCAUGGACACAAUCCUCCCAUGAAGUCUGAAGGGCUUCGCCGAC